Molecule: non-coding RNA, 109 nt
Organism: Vicugna pacos (alpaca)
Lineage: Eukaryota; Metazoa; Chordata; Mammalia; Artiodactyla; Camelidae
Source: RefSeq, a predicted model, not a curated record
AAUAAAGGGAGGGGUAGAAGGUCUAGCUCAGUGGUCAGAGCACAUGCUAAGCAUGCAUGAGGUCCUGGGUUCAAUCCCCGGUACCUCCAUUAAAAACUGAAAGAUGAGG